GCCCCUAUGGUUUAGUGGAUAUAAUAUGAGCUUGCGGAGCUUGUGACCCGAGUUCGAUUCUCGGUAGGGGCA
Molecule: transfer RNA, 72 nt
Filed under: Candidatus Woesearchaeota archaeon
Lineage: Archaea; Nanobdellati; Candidatus Woesearchaeota
Description: tRNA-Arg
Rfam family: tRNA
About the family: Transfer RNA (tRNA) molecules are approximately 80 nucleotides in length. Their secondary structure includes four short double-helical elements and three loops (D, anti-codon, and T loops).
Source: RNAcentral